UAGAUCCUACCACAAGUAGAGAUUGAAUAUAUUUUUUUAAAUUGUCAAACUCAGUGCAAUCUUGGCUUUGCCGUGAAAUCAAAACACUUGCGUCGAUGCCUUUUCAAAAACGAACCUGUGUAAGGCAUUCUUAAAAGGACAGCAUCAUCCAAUAAGUUGACACACAGCUCUCUGAUUUCAUUCCACAUCUCUUGUACUAUCGCUUGUCUGUCAUCAUGGCUCCAACCACAAUUAAUUGCAUUACGAAUAAGAUUACCAAAGGUUCGGCUGAGAUAAAUUCUGAUGCAAUAUAGAAGAUGUUUGACAGGACUUCAAUUGCCAUUCCCCUAUGUUCGUUGGAUGACAGGUGCUUAAAGUAUGUUAUGACAGGUUUGCUGUCAACACAGUGAAGACACAGCAAAAAGGCCGCCGCUGAUCGAGUUGGCCAUAAGGUCGGUAACCCUAGAAGUACAAUGUAAGAGAACCAUUCAACAUAAUUACUUUGAAUCUAAGGCUACCUGUCAGGGAUUGGAUUACAUCCACCACUUCCUGGGGUUGGAGAGGCGCAUACAGUAGAAGAAGUAGCUUAGCUAAAUCCUGGGGAUCCGUCAAUUCUGGGCAAUCAAAGACGAUUCCUAUCCACAUUGACCUGUCACAGGGUGCAGCGAAAUCCAAGAAAAGUGAACGCAGAUAUAUUCGCAGACUUCUUUCAACGUUUGCGUUUGUAGAAAUAGGAUUUUUCAUGUAGUCGGCCAGCUAAAAUAAAAAACAGCUUAAGAAAUUUUAAUUCAAAACAUCAAGGGAAUUUUUAGAAGACCGUUGAGCCAAUAUUGUUCCAUUGGCAUAAAAGAGAGUAGACCUUCGUACACUCGCGUUUAUCCCAACCAGAUAUCAGUGAAUGGAGGAUUACUCCAGCACUUGCUGCGAUUAAAUGUGGCUCGUAAUCCGGAGACCGCUCCACAAUUCCACGCUUUACCUUUUGUUGUCCAACAGAAAUAUGACAACGGUUUUGUUGUGGUGAAAUGUUUCUCUUUGUUUCUUUGUUUAAAAGUAAAUACCUCGGUAGUUAACUGGUAGUAAAGUCCCAAUCUUUGAGGGGUGGGAAAGAGGCAGGUCAACAAUUUGAGAAGUACGCCCGUCCGUUGACAUUCGGUAUGAAGUUCACUUGGCAAAGAGAGCUUUCCGUUCCAUGUUUUUUGUGAUGAAGUUAGCCUAGUACGUA
Long non-coding RNA from Daphnia carinata, 1201 nucleotides. RefSeq lists it as uncharacterized. The transcript is spliced from 4 exons. NCBI's taxonomy places the organism in Eukaryota, Metazoa, Arthropoda, Branchiopoda, Diplostraca, Daphniidae. The record is from RefSeq and is a predicted model, not a curated record.